RNAcentral lists this ribosomal RNA (1353 nucleotides) under uncultured fungus. Its description in RNAcentral is "eukaryotic LSU rRNA". The stretch from base 594 to 1353 matches the Rfam family "Eukaryotic large subunit ribosomal RNA", at positions 1 to 667 of the family's 3401-position model. The record is from RNAcentral. Lineage: Eukaryota; Fungi.
CUUGGUCAUUUAGAGGAAGUAAAAGCCGUAACAAGGUUCCCGUAGGUGAACCUGCGGAAGGAUCAUUAACAAAUCAGUUAUAUGGCUUCGGCCAUAUAAAUAAACCCCAAGCCUGGAAUUGUAAUACACAAGACCGGGGCUUUGGAUGGGAGUGCGCUUCGGUGCGCUGGCCACAUUGACGCUUGUAUUGUUUGACAGAGUAUAGUUGCAUUAAAAAAUACAACUUUUAACAAUGGAUCUCUUGGCUCUUGCAACGAUGAAGAACGCAGUGAAAUGCGAAAAGUAAUGCGAUUUGCAUGAAUCUGUGAGUCAUCAAGUCUUUGAACGCACCUUGCACCGUAUGAGCAAUCGUACGGUAUACCUGUUUGAGAAUCGUAAAAACCUCUUUCUACCUUUUGGUGGGAGACUUGUCGGUUGUGCCCCUCGGGGUACUCUGAUUAAAUGCAGUAGGUCUGGAUCAGGCUAGUGGCCUGGGACACUGUGUGUUAGAGACGUCGCGUUGUUGACUGUCUUCUCAUAGUGCGUCCUAGGCUAUUCAAGCUGGCCUGGUCAAGCCUUCUAGUCGGUGCGUAUGCGCUGACACCCCCCCUUUUUGAUCUCAAAUCAGGUAAGGCUACCCGCUGAACUUAAGCAUAUCAGUAAGCGGAGGAAAAGAAACUAACAAGGAUUCCCCUAGUAACGGCGAGCGAAGCGGGAAGAGCUCAAAUUUAAAAUCUGGUAGGCCUUGCCUAUCCGAAUUGUAGUUUAAAGAGGCGUUAUCUGGCUGCUGCUUGGUGCUCAAGUCCCUUGGAAUAGGGCGUCACAGAGGGUGAGAACCCCGUCUGGGCAUUGGGCAGUGGUCUCUAUGAGGCGCUCUCUACGAGUCGGGUUGUUUGGGAAUGCAGCUCAAAAUGGGUGGUAAAUUUCAUCUAAGGCUAAAUACUGGCAAGAGACCGAUAGCGAACAAGUACCGUGAGGGAAAGAUGAAAAGCACCUUGAAAAGGGAGUUAAAUAGUGCGUGAAAUUGUUAAAAGGGAAACGAUUGAGACCAGUAUUGCUGUCGGUCGUUCAGCGGCGUGUUGGUGCAAGCCUGCGCGUCGUGUAUUCGGUCGGCGGCGAGUCAGCGUCAGUUUGGGUUUCCGGAGAGAGGUUGGAGGAAGAUGGGGUUUGCCUUCGGGCUAACCUUUUAUAGACUCUGGCUGGCACGGGAGCCUGGACUGAGGUGUGCGACUGUCGUACUCUCGGUUUGAGACCAGCCCCCAAGGUGACGGACUACACGUAGACCGGCGCUGCAAGGGACGGAGGUAGGGCCGAGCAGACAGUUCCAGGAUGCUGACGAAAUGGUCUUAAACGACCCGUCUUGAAACACGGACC